GUCGAGAAUCUUUCACAAUGGGGGCAACCCUGAUGGAGCGACGCCGCGUGGAGGAUAAGGUCUUCGGAUUGUAAACUCCUGUCAUGCGUGAACAAGGUUGCUUGGUUAAUACCUGGGCAAAUUGAUGGUAACGCAAGAGGAAGAGACGACUAACUCUGUGCCAGCAGCCGCGGUAAUACAGAGGUCUCAAGCGUUGUUCGGAAUCACUGGGCGUAAAGGGUGCGUAGGUGGCGUGGUAAGUCAGAUGUGAAAGCCCGGGGCUCAACCUCGGAACUGCAUCCGAUACUGCCAUGCUAGAGUACUGGAGAGGUGACUAGAAUUCUCGGUGUAGCAGUGAAAUGCGUAGAUAUCGAGAGGAAUACCAAAGGCGUAGGCAGGUCACUGGACAGUUACUGACACUGAGGCACGAAGGCCAGGGGAGCGAACGGGAUUAGAAACCCUAGUAGUCC
This 449-nucleotide ribosomal RNA is filed under the name uncultured bacterium. RNAcentral describes it as "partial 16S ribosomal RNA". It matches the Rfam family "Bacterial small subunit ribosomal RNA", at positions 354 to 796 of the family's 1533-position model. The record is from RNAcentral.